UAUGGCCAUAUCUUGUUGAAACACUGGUUCUCAUAUGAUCACUGAAAUUAAGCUAUGUUGAGCCUGGUCAAUACUUAGAUGGGUGACCAUUUGGAAAUACCAGGCUUUG
RNAcentral lists this ribosomal RNA (109 nucleotides) under Acanthosepion pharaonis. The record is from RNAcentral. Lineage: Eukaryota; Metazoa; Mollusca; Cephalopoda; Sepiida; Sepiidae.